RNAcentral lists this ribosomal RNA (481 nucleotides) under uncultured bacterium. Its description in RNAcentral is "partial 16S ribosomal RNA". It matches the Rfam family "Bacterial small subunit ribosomal RNA", at positions 28 to 507 of the family's 1533-position model. The record is from RNAcentral.
GAUGAACGCUGGCGGCGUGCUUAACACAUGCAAGUCGAACGAAGCACUUUAUUUGAUUUCCUUCGGGACUGAUUAUUUUGUGACUGAGUGGCGGACGGGUGAGUAACGCGUGGGUAACCUGCCUUGUACAGGGGGAUAACAGUUGGAAACGGCUGCUAAUACCGCAUAAGCGCACGGCAUCGCAUGAUGCAGUGUGAAAAACUCCGGUGGUAUAAGAUGGACCCGCGUUGGAUUAGCUAGUUGGUGAGGUAACGGCCCACCAAGGCGACGAUCCAUAGCCGACCUGAGGGGGUGACCGGCCACAUUGGGACUGAGACACGGCCCAAACUCCUACGGGAGGCAGCAGUGGGGAAUAUUGCACAAUGGGCGAAAGCCUGAUGCAGCGACGCCGCGUGAGCGAAGAAGUAUUUCGGUAUGUAAAGCUCUAUCAGCAGGGAAGAUAAUGACGGUACCUGACUAAGAAGCACCGGCUAAAUACGUG